This 253-nucleotide ribosomal RNA is filed under the name uncultured bacterium. RNAcentral describes it as "partial 16S ribosomal RNA". It matches the Rfam family "Bacterial small subunit ribosomal RNA", at positions 524 to 776 of the family's 1533-position model. The record is from RNAcentral.
UACGAAGGGGGCGAGCGUUGUUCGGAUUUACUGGGCGUAAAGGGCGCGUAGGCGGCCUUGUCAGUCAGGCGUGAAAGCCCCGGGCUCAACCUGGGAACGGCGCUUGGGACGGCGAGGCUGGAGUUCGGGAGAGGAGAGUGGAAUUCCCAGUGUAGAGGUGAAAUUCGUAGAUAUUGGGAAGAACACCGGUGGCGAAGGCGGCUCUCUGGACCGACACUGACGCUGAGGAGCGAAAGCCAGGGGAGCAAACGGG